This 124-nucleotide small nucleolar RNA is filed under the name Carlito syrichta (Philippine tarsier). RNAcentral describes it as "Small nucleolar RNA SNORA63 (ENSTSYG00000023705.2)". It matches the Rfam family "Small nucleolar RNA SNORA63". Rfam says of the family: E3 belongs to the H/ACA class of snoRNAs and is involved in the processing of eukaryotic pre-rRNA and has regions of complementarity to 18S rRNA. Lineage: Eukaryota; Metazoa; Chordata; Mammalia; Primates; Tarsiidae. The record is from Rfam by way of RNAcentral.
AAGUGGGACUCAGACUACAAUAGAGCUGUUAAGUGCUGUGUUGUGGUUCCCACAAUAAAGUUGCUCUUAAGUAUACCUGUCUGCUGUGCUCCUAUAGCAGCCAGGGAUGCUUGGUCUCAUACAU